This 22-nucleotide microRNA is filed under the name Octopus bimaculoides (California two-spot octopus). RNAcentral describes it as "Obi-Mir-12528_5p (mature (guide))". The record is from RNAcentral. Lineage: Eukaryota; Metazoa; Mollusca; Cephalopoda; Octopoda; Octopodidae.
UACGUGUCACCUACAGCCAUGC